Molecule: ribosomal RNA, 248 nt
Filed under: uncultured bacterium
Lineage: Bacteria
Description: partial 16S ribosomal RNA
Rfam family: Bacterial small subunit ribosomal RNA
Source: RNAcentral
GGGUGCAAGCGUUGUUCGGAAUUAUUGGGCGUAAAGCGCGCGUAGGCGGCUUUGCAAGUCGGGCGUGAAACCCUCAGGCUCAACCUGGGGACGCCACCCGAUACUGCUGUGGCUAGAGUCCAGUAGGGGAGUGUGGAAUUCCCGGUGUAGCGGUGAAAUGCGCAGAUAUCAGGAGGAACACCAAUGGCGAAGGCAGCACUCUGGGACGGUACUGACGCUGAGACGCGAAAGCGUGGGGAGCAAACAGG